UCAUUUUUCAAUUUCCAAAGGGAGGAAAAAGGAACCAACCGGGAUUGCCUUAGUAACGGGGAGUGGAGCGGGCAAAGCUCAAAUUUGAAAUUUAGUACCUUCGGUGCUCGAGUUGUAAUUUGUAGAGGGAUACUUUGGGGCCGUUCCUUUGUUAUGUUCCUUGGAACAGGACGUCAUAGAGGGUGAGAAUCCCGUGUGGCGAGGAGUGCGGUUUUAUGUAAAGUGCCUUCGAAGAGUCGAGUUGUUUGGGAAUGCAGCUUUAAGUGGGUGGUAAAUUCCAUCUAAAGCUAAAUAUUGGCGAGAGACCGAUAGCGAACCAGUACAGUGAUGGAAAGAUGAAAAGAACUUUGAAAAGAGAGUGAAAAAGUACGUGAAAUUGUUGAAAGGGAAGGGCAUUUGAUCAGACAUGGUGUUUUGCGCCCUCUGCUCCUUGUGGGGGGGGGACUCUCUCACCUCACUGGGCCAACAUCACUUUUGGUGGUCGGACAAAUCCGUAGGAAUGUAGCUUACCUCGGUAAUAGUUAUAGCCUCGGGAAUGAGUCCAGCCGGCCGGAGGACUGCGACUGCGUAAAUGUUGUCGAAUUG
Molecule: ribosomal RNA, 585 nt
Filed under: Monosporozyma servazzii
Lineage: Eukaryota; Fungi; Ascomycota; Saccharomycetes; Saccharomycetales; Saccharomycetaceae
Description: eukaryotic LSU rRNA
Rfam family: Eukaryotic large subunit ribosomal RNA
Source: RNAcentral